UAGCGUACACAUUUACUUUCAUGUUUUUUUAUUUGAAGAAAGAAUCGCUUCCAAGAUGGAUCGGAGAGUUGACUACACACCUGGUAACCCACACUGGAGAGAAGCCUUAUAUCUGUCUGUGUGGGAAGAGCUUUGCUCUAUCUGGACACCUGAAUAGACACCAGCGAACACACACUGGAGAGAAACCUUACAGCUGUGAUCAGUGUGGGAAGAGUUUCAGUCUAUCAGGGACCCUAAAUACACACCAGCGAACACACACUGGAGAGAAACCUUAUGUCUGUCUAUGUGGAAAGAGCUUUUCUCAUUUAGGGCCAAUGAGAAAACACCAGAAAACACAAACGUGCUGUAUUUCAUCUUCUUCCUAUCCGACACCCGACACCGGUUCCAGAUCCCUAAAUAAAUGUUCAAUAAAAAACAUCUAGUGAACCCUAACCCUAAAUAAAGGAUAAAUACAUUU
Salvelinus sp. IW2-2015 is the source of this 457-nucleotide non-coding RNA. NCBI's taxonomy places the organism in Eukaryota, Metazoa, Chordata, Actinopteri, Salmoniformes, Salmonidae. The record is from RefSeq and is a predicted model, not a curated record.